AUUGAACGCUGGCGGCAGGCUUAACACAUGCAAGUCGAGCGAGCGGCGGACGGGUGAGUAAUGUCUGGGAAACUGCCUGAUGGAGGGGGAUAACUACUGGAAACGGUAGCUAAUACCGCAUACCAUCAGAUGUGCCCAGAUGGGAUUAGCUAGUAGGUGGGGUAAUGGCUCACCUAGGCGACGAUCCCUAGCUGGUCUGAGAGGAUGACCAGCCACACUGGAACUGAGAAACGGUCCAGACUCCUACGGGAGGCAGCAGUGGGGAAUAUUGCAAAAUGGGCGGAAGGCUGAUGCAGCCAUGCCGGGUUGGUUAAGAAGGCCUUCGGGUUGUAAAGCUCUUUCAGCGGGGAGGCGGUACUCGCAGAAGAAGCACCGGCUAACUCCGGGCCAGCAGCCGCGGUAAUAC
This 406-nucleotide ribosomal RNA is filed under the name uncultured bacterium. RNAcentral describes it as "partial 16S ribosomal RNA". It matches the Rfam family "Bacterial small subunit ribosomal RNA", at positions 30 to 526 of the family's 1533-position model. The record is from RNAcentral.